Molecule: long non-coding RNA, 2747 nt
Organism: Cydia pomonella (codling moth)
Lineage: Eukaryota; Metazoa; Arthropoda; Insecta; Lepidoptera; Tortricidae
Exons: 2
Source: RefSeq, a predicted model, not a curated record
UGGAGAAACUUUUUUAGGGUUCCGUUUUAUGCCAUUUGGCUACGGAACCCUAAAAAAGGUUUAUUGUAUAAACAAAAUCAUGUUAACCUGCAUUAUACUACUAAGUUUUAAGAGAAAUUCAAUAUGUCAAAUCACAUCUGUAUCGUAUAUGUAUUUAUUCGCAUGCAAAAUUAAAACCAAAAACUUAAAAAAUACUGACAAAUCAGUCGUCAACUUUUUAAAAUUUGAAAAACGCAAAUUGUAUUAGUCUCAAAAAUGUGUUAAAUUUUAUAUAAAAAAAUUACGUGAAGAAGUAGAUUACUAACCAUUGUAAGGUACCUGAUCCAUGUAAGGCCCAGUGCCUAAAAAGCCCACUUUUGAAAAUGCGCCCCCCGCGCUUUGAUUGCCAGGUCAAAAUCCUAGUAAGGCUAAAUGACUACACUAAAACCUAUCAUUUCUCAGUUCCUACUAGUUUUUUAUACGGAAUUUGUGACUUCCUGAGUUUUACUACGGUAAAAGGUAACUUAACAUGCUACUUACUAUGUUUAGAGGCAUAGAAAUCUGUAGUAAUCAUAAUAAUUGUGCCGGUUUUGGAGCAGGUGUCUCUGUAAUCGGGCGAGUACUUACGAGAUGGAUACAAAUAAAAUAAAAAAUGAAUUUCUAAUAAUUAGUUACCAACCUUACCUACUAGGUUUUUAUGUCGGGCAGCCAAAAUCAGCCUUUAACACCCUUCGCAUAAAAAUAAAGGAUGAAUCUCAUGCAUUACGGAAUCGCUGUAGUACAAUACGCGGAGAUGAUCAGAGGCUUCACAUUCAUAAUUCCGUUGAAUUUCGGGACCCGCUCAAGUUUGGUAGUUUCUUAAGUUACUUGGAGUUAGAAAACUAUUAUAAAGCUCAAUUAACACCUUUUUUGAUCUCGACUCCCUUAAUCUGCACUUCUUUUCUUCUGAAACUUUUUCUCGUUAAGUAAAAUACACUAAACUUCCCUUCUAAUGCAUCAACUUAACUUUUUUUAAUGUUCGUCUCGUCUAAGGCCGUUGGAAACGACGAUCCGAGCCAAAACAUGAUCCUCCCUCUAAUCGACCUUAUUGAUCAUAUCAUCAAGCCCUAUUUUUUCUUAUAUUUUCCCGUCGCUUUGGUAAGAUGCCGUUAGAAAGUCCAAUUCCAAGUCCUUCUCAAACUACCGCUCUAUUUAUUUCCAUUUCUUCGUUUCCUCUCUAAAGUUCUUGAGUGUCUUUUGUACAUAAACAGAUUACCGUUUUGAACAGACAUGCGCUCACGAACCCAUAUUAACCCGGUUACCCUAUACGGCACAGCACAAUUAUCGCUCUUGUAAAAAAUACUGCAGAUAUACGUGCAGAUAUGGUAUAUCACGGUGUUAUCAUUCUUGGAUUUCGAUAAUGCUUUAAACACGGGUGACUUCGACAUCUUAGUACGCAUAUUGUGUUCUCUUAAUGUAUUUCCUGUGACAGUGAACUAGUUCCAUAGUUAUUAAGUGGGGCGUCAACAGAGGUGAAUUGCUUUUAAUCUUCAUUGUGCCUGCACAGGACGGGGCAGCGUGUUGUCUCCUGUUUCAUUUCCUUACUUUAUUAACUCUAACACGUUAUAUUAUCUUCUUCUACCACUUUAAGCAUACUGUCAAGGCUCUUUUACUCAUCUACCAUAGACUAUCUGCACCAUGAACAUGAACACUAAUUUAGAAAGCAUUUUGAUUUGGACUUUCACGUUACGGUCUCAAGGUAAAUCCACCGAAAUUUAAGUUAUAGUGAUAGGUACCUAGGUCAAAGUGUUCAAGGUGUAUUUUCUUCUACCACAUUGAUCAUGGCUGGUUCACAAGACUCUCUGCAGACGGCAUUGCAAGCACGCCGCGAAGAGCAGCGUCGCCGAGAAGAGCAGCAGCGGCGAGAUGCGGAGCGUCGUUAAGAAGAGAAGCGGCAACGAGAGGAGCAGGCUCGGCGAGCUGGGGAGAGUCGCAAAGAACAUGAGCGUCGGCAAGAUCAGCUUGUAACGUUAUACGUUACAUGAAAGUACUAUUAUUUAAAUAAACUACAUGAAUAAAUGAAAAUACCACUUAAAACUAAUUUUACAAAUUAAUAUUUUCAAUUUUAAACAUAAACAUGCAACAAGUAUUCGUCGGCGCCGUUUUAGCGCUCUUCGAAAGAUUUCGUAUGCCACAUUUUAGCGCUCACGGUAACGAGUUCUUUUGUUUGUUGAAUAUACUUAUAGGGAGUUGCAUUAGCGGAUCGCUCCCACCAUUCCCGAACUGCACUCGAGAUAGAACACACGUCACACGGAUCAUCGGUCUCUGAUACGUACCUAAUUUUUGAAAAUGUAACCGAUAUGAUAUAAUUAAUAUGCGUGUUGUCAUCUCUUAACGUUCCUCAAAGUGUUUAGCGUCGUAAAUACGUUAAAUGUUAUAACGCGAGUGUGAAUAAACCCCAAAUUGGGGUCCAACGUUCGGGCUGCUAUUUUGGGUGGAGGAUCCACCGCAGCCACACCUACCACCAACGCUACUCUCGCCAGUAGCAGGGCGAGCUCUUCAUCAAGCCCCGGGCAGCCAAGUACAGUCGUCCACAAUUGCGGCGCCCGCGUACACCACCGACGGCACAACCCAGGCGAGAGUACCUAACCGCAAAAUGGAUAGGAUCUUUGUGUGAAUUUAUAAAACCAAACCUGCGACCCAUUUUAGUUAAGUGGCCCCCGCGUAUUCCGCAUCGUUGUUUUUUUAUUUUUUAUUUUAAAUUAAAUGUUUUUAUUUUUUAUUUUGCA